This 446-nucleotide ribosomal RNA is filed under the name uncultured bacterium. Its description in RNAcentral is "partial 16S ribosomal RNA". It matches the Rfam family "Bacterial small subunit ribosomal RNA", at positions 338 to 795 of the family's 1533-position model. The record is from RNAcentral.
CCUACGGGGAGCGGCAGGCGAGAAUCAUUCACAAUGGGGGAAACCCUGAUGGGGCGACGCCGCGUGGGGGAAUGAAGGUCUGCGGAUGGUAAACCCCUGUCAUGUGGGAGCAAAUUAAAAAGAUAGUACCACAAGAGGAAGAGACUGCUAACUCGGUGCCAGCAGCCGCGGUAAGACAGAGGGCUCAAGCGUUGUUCGGAAUCACUGGGCGUAAAGCGUGCGUAGGCUGUUUCGUAAGUCGUGUGUGAAAGGCGCGGGCUCAACCCGCGGACGGCACAUGAUACUGCGAGACUAGAGUAGUGGAGAGGGAACCGGAAUUCUCGGUGUAGCAGUGAACUGCGUAGAUAUCGGGAGGAACACUCGUGGCGAAGGCGGGUUCCUGGACAUUAACUGACGCUGAGGCACGAAGGCCCGGGGAGCGAAAGGGAUUAGAUACCCGUGUAGUC